Molecule: unclassified non-coding RNA, 333 nt
Filed under: Borreliella burgdorferi (Lyme disease spirochete)
Lineage: Bacteria; Pseudomonadati; Spirochaetota; Spirochaetia; Spirochaetales; Borreliaceae
Description: partial contains 5S-23S ribosomal RNA intergenic spacer and 23S ribosomal RNA
Rfam family: Bacterial large subunit ribosomal RNA (bases 204-333)
Source: RNAcentral
GAGUAGGUUAUUGCCAGGGUUUUUAUUUUUAUACUUUAAACUUUGAUUUUAUUUUUAUGUUUUUUAAAUAUUGGUGUUUUUGAAUGUGUUGUUUAAAUAACAUAAAAAAUAAAAUAUAUAUAUUGACAUGCAUUAAACAAAGAUAUAUAUUAUUUUAUGUUGUAUAAAUAAAUUGGCAAAAUAGAGAUGGAAGAUAAAAAUAUGGUCAAAGUAAUAAGAGUCUAUGGUGAAUGCCUAGGAGCUUUAAGGCGAAGAAGGUCGUGGUAAGCUGCGAAAAGCUUGGGGGAGAAGCAAACAUUUAUUGAUCCCAAGAUUACCGAAUGGAGUAAUCCA